GUCGAGCGGACAGAUGGGAGCUUGCUCCCUGAUGUUAGCGGCGGACGGGUGAGUAACACGUGGGUAACCUGCCUGUAAGACUGGGAUAACUCCGGGAAACCGGGGCUAAUACCGGAUGGUUGUUUGAACCGCAUGGUUCAAACAUAAAAGGUGGCUUCGGCUACCACUUACAGAUGGACCCGCGGCGCAUUAGCUAGUUGGUGAGGUAACGGCUCACCAAGGCAACGAUGCGUAGCCGACCUGAGAGGGUGAUCGGCCACACUGGGACUGAGACACGGCCCAGACUCCUACGGGAGGCAGCAGUAGGGAAUCUUCCGCAAUGGACGAAAGUCUGACGGAGCAACGCCGCGUGAGUGAUGAAGGUUUUCGGAUCGUAAAGCUCUGUUGUUAGGGAAGAACAAGUACCGUUCGAAUAGGGCGGUACCUUGACGGUACCUAACCAGAAAGCCACGGCUAACUACGUGCCAGCAGCCGCGGUAAUACGUAGGUGGCAAGCGUUGUCCGGAAUUAUUGGGCGUAAAGGGCUCGCAGGCGGUUUCUUAAGUCUGAUGUGAAAGCCCCCGGCUCAACCGGGGAGGGUCAUUGGAAACUGGGGAACUUGAGUGCAGAAGAGGAGAGUGGAAUUCCACGUGUAGCGGUGAAAUGCGUAGAGAUGUGGAGGAACACCAGUGGCGAAGGCGACUCUCUGGUCUGUAACUGACGCUGAGGAGCGAAAGCGUGGGGAGCGAACAGGAUUAGAUACCCUGGUAGUCCACGCCGUAAACGAUGAGUGCUAAGUGUUAGGGGGUUUCCGCCCCUUAGUGCUGCAGCUAACGCAUUAAGCACUCCGCCUGGGGAGUACGGUCGCAAGACUGAAACUCAA
Molecule: ribosomal RNA, 862 nt
Filed under: Bacillus sp. (in: firmicutes)
Lineage: Bacteria; Bacillati; Bacillota; Bacilli; Caryophanales; Bacillaceae
Description: bacterial SSU rRNA
Rfam family: Bacterial small subunit ribosomal RNA
Source: RNAcentral